CGGAGCGGGAGGGCGGCCAACGGUUCCCGCGGCUUCGCCGCGGUCCGAACCGAGGAAGGUCCCCGCUCACCGAGGACCGGGACCGGCGACAAGGCCGGGUGGGGGAGACCUCGCGAGCCGGAGCAGAAACGACACCGCCACCGUCACGGGAUGACGGGGGAAAGCCCCCGACGACGACGGUGGAACGGAUGAAACGUGCCGGGCUCCCCGGAGCAAGUCCGAACCGCCCCGUCGAGGUGUCCGCGGCGAGGGGCAAGUGGGACGCACAGACGAAUGCCGCCGUCCGAUCCUCGCGAUCGGGCAACAGAACGGGGACUACUCCCCGCACCG
Molecule: RNase P RNA, 330 nt
Filed under: Thermoplasmatales archaeon SW_10_69_26
Lineage: Archaea; Methanobacteriati; Thermoplasmatota; Thermoplasmata; Thermoplasmatales
Description: RNase P RNA component
Rfam family: Archaeal RNase P
About the family: Ribonuclease P (RNase P) is a ubiquitous endoribonuclease, found in archaea, bacteria and eukarya as well as chloroplasts and mitochondria.
Source: RNAcentral